GGGGGUUUGGCGCAGUGGUUAGCGCGGUUGCUUCGCACUUCUCCGAAUCUGCAAUAGGCCGCGGGUUCAACUCCCGCAACCUCCA
This is a non-coding RNA of Hyaloraphidium curvatum, 85 nucleotides long. The record is from the annotation of a GenBank genome assembly. Lineage: Eukaryota; Fungi; Monoblepharomycota; Hyaloraphidiomycetes; Hyaloraphidiales; Hyaloraphidiaceae.